GUUAUAUGGUCAAGCGAAUAAGCGCACACGGUGGAUGCCUUGGCGGUCAGAGGCGAUGAAGGACGUGGCAGCCUGCGAAAAGUAUCGGGGAGCUGGCAACAAGCUUUGAUCCGGUAAUGUCCGAAUGGGGAAACCCACCCGCUUGCGGGUAUCCUGCAGUGAAUACAUAGCUGCUGGAAGCGAACCUGGUGAACUGAAAUAUCUAAGUAACCAGAGGAAAAGAAAUCAACCGAGAUUCCGUAAGUAGCGACGAGCGAACGCGGACUAGCCCUUAAGCUGGAUUGGUUCUAGGAAAACGCUCUGGAAAGAGCGGCCAUAGAAGGUGAUAGCCCUGUAUCUGAAAGGGCCAUUCCAGUGAAGACGAGUAGGGCGGGGCACGUGAAACCCUGUCUGAACAUGGGGGGACCAUCCUCCAAGGCUAAAUACUACUGACCGACCGAUAGUGAACCAGUACCGUGAGGGAAAGGCGAAAAGAACCCCGGAGAGGGGAGUGAAAUAGAACCUGAAACCGUGUGCGUACAAGCAGUAGGAGCUCCGCAAGGAGUGACUGCGUACCUUUUGUAUAAUGGGUCAGCGACUUACUGUUCGUGGCAAGCUUAACCGUAUAGGGGAGGCGAAGGGAAACCGAGUCUGAUAAGGGCGCAUAGUCGCGGGCAGUAGACCCGAAACCGGGUGAUCUAGUCAUGCCCAGGGUGAAGGUGCGGUAACACGCACUGGAGGCCCGAACCCACUCCCGUUGCAAAGGUAGGGGAUGAGGUGUGAUUAGGAGUGAAAAGCUAAUCGAACCCGGAGAUAGCUGGUUCUCCUCGAAAGCUAUUUAGGUAGCGCCUCAUAUGUAUCCUCUCGGGGGUAGAGCACUGUUAUGGCUAGGGGGUCAUCGCGACUUACCAAACCAUUGCAAACUCCGAAUACCGAGACGGACUGUAUGGGAGACACACGGCGGGUGCUAACGUCCGUCGUGAAAAGGGAAACAACCCAGACCCACAGCUAAGGUCCCAAAUUUUGUGCUAAGUGGAAAACCAUGUGGAAAGGCACAGACAGCCAGGAGGUUGGCUUAGAAGCAGCCACCCUUUAAAGAAAGCGUAAUAGCUCACUGGUCGAGUCGGUCUGCGGGGAAGAUUUAACGGGGCUAAGCACAGAACCGAAGCUUGGGGUGCAUAACUUUGUUAUGCGCGGUAGAGGAGCGUUCCGUAAGCCGUUGAAGGUGGAUUGAGAAGUCUGCUGGAGGUAUCGGAAGUGCGAAUGCUGACAUGAGUAACGAUAAUGCGGGUGAAAAACCCGCACGCCGAAAGCCCAAGGUUUCCUUGCGCAACGUUAAUCGGCGCAGGGUGAGUCGGCCCCUAAGGCGAGGACGAAAGUCGUAGUCGAUGGGAAGCAGGUUAAUAUUCCUGCACCUCGCGUAAGUGCGAUGGAGGGACGGAGAAGGUUAGGUGUACCAGGCGUUGGUUGUCCUGGGGAAAGGCGGUAGGUUUGGAUCUUUGGCAAAUCCGGGAUCCUCUAAGACCGAGCACCGAGACGAGCCUUUAAGGCGAAGUCACUGAUACCACGCUUCCAGGAAAAGCUCCUAAGCUUCAGCUUACGCAGACCGUACCGUAAACCGACACAGGUGGGUAGGAUGAGAAUUCUCAGGCGCUUGAGAGAACUCGGGUGAAGGAACUAGGCAACAUGGCACCGUAACUUCGGGAGAAGGUGCACCCUUUUUGGUGGCUCGUGCGAGCUAUAGCUGAAGAGGGUCGCAGUAACCAGGCCGCUGCGACUGUUUAUCAAAAACACAGCACUCUGCAAACACGAAAGUGGACGUAUAGGGUGUGACGCCUGCCCGGUGCUGGAAGGUUAAUUGAUGGGGUCAGCCGCAAGGCGAAGCUCUUGAUCGAAGCCCCAGUAAACGGCGGCCGUAACUAUAACGGUCCUAAGGUAGCGAAAUUCCUUGUCGGGUAAGUUCCGACCUGCACGAAUGGCGUAACGACAGCGGCGCUGUCUCCACCCGAGACUCAGUGAAAUUGAAAUCGCUGUGAAGAUGCAGCGUUCCCGUGGCAAGACGGAAAGACCCCGUGAACCUUUACUAUAGCUUUACACUGAACGUUGAGUUCGUCUGUGUAGGAUAGGUGGGAGGCUAUGAAACUGUGGCGCUAGCUGCAGCGGAGCCAUCCUUGAAAUACCACCCUGUCGUGCUUGACGUUCUAACCUGGGCCCAUUAUCUGGGUCGGGGACCGUGUAUGGUGGGUAGUUUGACUGGGGCGGUCUCCUCCUAAAGAGUAACGGAGGAGCUCGAAGGUACGCUCAGCGCGGUCGGACAUCGCGCACUGUGUGCAAAGGCAUAAGCGUGCUUGACUGCAAGAUCGACGGAUCAAGCAGGUAGGAAACUAGGACUUAGUGAUCCGGUGGUUCUGUAUGGAAGGGCCAUCGCUCAACGGAUAAAAGGUACUCCGGGGAUAACAGGCUGAUACCGCCCAAGAGUUCAUAUCGACGGCGGUGUUUGGCACCUCGAUGUCGGCUCAUCACAUCCUGGGGCUGUAGUCGGUCCCAAGGGUAUGGCUGUUCGCCAUUUAAAGUGGUACGCGAGCUGGGUUCAGAACGUCGUGAGACAGUUCGGUCCCUAUCUGCCAUGGGCGUUGGAGAUUUGAGAGGGGCUGCUCCUAGUACGAGAGGACCGGAGUGGACGAACCUCUGGUGUUCCGGUUGUCACGCCAGUGGCAUUGCCGGGUAGCUAUGUUCGGAAGCGAUAACCGCUGAAAGCAUCUAAGCGGGAAGCGCGCCUCAAGAUGAGAUCUCCCGGGGCACAAGCCCCCUGAAGGAACCAUGUAGACUACGUGGUUGAUAGGUCAGGUGUGUAAGUACAGCAAUGUAUUGAGCUAACUGAUACUAAUGAUCCGUGCGGCUUGACCAUAUAACCU
RNAcentral lists this ribosomal RNA (2894 nucleotides) under Stenotrophomonas maltophilia. RNAcentral describes it as "bacterial LSU rRNA". It matches the Rfam family "Bacterial large subunit ribosomal RNA". Lineage: Bacteria; Pseudomonadati; Pseudomonadota; Gammaproteobacteria; Lysobacterales; Lysobacteraceae. The record is from RNAcentral.